RNAcentral lists this non-coding RNA (26 nucleotides) under Rattus norvegicus (Norway rat). The record is from RNAcentral. Lineage: Eukaryota; Metazoa; Chordata; Mammalia; Rodentia; Muridae.
UGAGAGAUCGUGUCUCAACCGCACAC